This is a long non-coding RNA of Solanum pennellii, 805 nucleotides long. RefSeq lists it as uncharacterized. Lineage: Eukaryota; Viridiplantae; Streptophyta; Magnoliopsida; Solanales; Solanaceae. The transcript has 2 exons. The record is from RefSeq and is a predicted model, not a curated record.
UCUUGGUGUAAUUUAGGUAUUCAGAAAUGUAUGUGUAUCAUGAUUUGGUAGUUACGCGUAUUACAUAAUUCUUGCUAACCAGCUAAUUUGGAAUUGAGGUCUAGUUGUGGAAGCUUUAUCUGAUGAUAUAUCUGUUAAGAGUGUCCCACAUUAGUUGAGGGAAUAGAUUGUUGUCUCCUUAUAGUGUUGGAGAAUUCUUGUCACAUGAGCUAGCUUUUGUUGUUGAUUUAGGCCCAAUUCUUGUCUCCAUUUCUUAAUAUGGAGUUAGAGCUGCAUCAGUAUUUUCUUAGUUUACUGAAUACUAGGCCCAAUGUUAAAUUGUUCACGCUCUGGAUGUCUGCUCUGGGUUUUCACUUUUCAGAGGAGACUUAACAUCUCACAUUGUUUGAAAGAAUGACCCCUUGUCUUUUAUAUAUUUUUUGCUCAAUCCUCACCUCUUAAGCUAGCUUUUGGGGUCGAGUGCCCAAGGCCAAUUCACUUGAUAAUAUCAUGUAGGUCUAAUUGAAGUUUCCAAUGUUGCAUGUCAUGUGCUUGAACUUCGCCACAUUCAAAAUCACUGUAUCUAAGUGGACGAGAGUAGAGGCGCGUACAAAUUAUUGCCUAGUUAUGAGCUGGUUCCCGUGCACCACUGGCCCUCGGAAUUUCUCGGCAAUUAAAACAAAAUUGUCCUGAUCAAAGAGUAGUUUCAUUGGUUAUAUGAGUUUUUUGCUGUUCUUUGACAAAGAUACUGACCAGCAUGCAUGUCGGAUACUCCAAAAUAGUGCAUAUUUGAUGAAUCCGACACGGGUGCAACGACAUUUUUGGA